This 382-nucleotide ribosomal RNA is filed under the name uncultured eukaryote. RNAcentral describes it as "partial 18S ribosomal RNA". It matches the Rfam family "Eukaryotic small subunit ribosomal RNA", at positions 592 to 976 of the family's 1831-position model. The record is from RNAcentral.
CAAUAGCGUAUAUUAAAGUUGUUGCAGUUAAAAAGCUCGUAGUUGGAUUUCUGGUGAGAUGGAUUAUGUCUAGGUCGAAAGAUCUUGUUCAUGGUUCGUUUUGCCCUUCUUGUCAGGAACCCGCUGAGAUUCGCGUCUUGUCGGUGGAAUGGCAUCGUUUACUGUGAAAAAAUUAGAGUGUUCAAAGCAGGCAUCGCCGUUGAAUACAUUAGCAUGGAAUAAUAAGAUAAGACUUUGGUGGUCUAUUUUGUUGGUUUGCACGCCAAAGUAAUGAUUAAUAGGGAUAGUUGGGGGUAUUCGUAUUCUAUUGCUAGAGGUGAAAUUCUUAAAUUUAUGGGAGACGAACUACUGCGAAAGCAUUUACCAAGGAUGUUUUCAUUAA